GACCUCUUACUGUAGAUAAUUUGUUAAAAAAAGAAUGGAUAGGCAACACGAAUUGUGUGCCGUGUGGGUCUGAUAUGGAAACAAUAGACCACCUUUUUUCUCAAUGUGUAUUCUUCAAAUUUCUUAUGGUGAUGUCAUUGGAGGAUGUCCGAGCAGGAGAUUUGGCCGAAGAUGUGCAUAUGGUUUGGGACAGACGGAGCGGAAGGAUGGGGUCUCAGUCCAUGAGCGAUAGUUUAUCUGGACUAAUUACCUGCUGGUGGGUUAUUUGGGAGACCAGAAAUUGUGUGAUCUUUAGGAGGAAUCAGACUGAUCCAACCCGUGGUUGCUAUAAGGUUAAACAGGUGACAUCCCUGUGAGGGAAACUUCGCCCUAUGGAGAGACACUGAUUUUUAUUUUUAUUUUUAUUUUUAUUUUUUUUCAUCUUU
This 425-nucleotide long non-coding RNA is filed under the name Ananas comosus (pineapple). Its description in RNAcentral is "long non-coding RNA (ACOM_LNC002403)". Lineage: Eukaryota; Viridiplantae; Streptophyta; Magnoliopsida; Poales; Bromeliaceae. The record is from RNAcentral.